GAUCAGCCGUACUCCGAAUGCCUUAGAUUAAGUUUGAUCAUGGCUCAGAGCGAACGCUGUAAGGUAGGCCUAACACAUGCAAGUCGAACGGCAGCACAGGAGAGCUUGCUCUCUGGGUGGCGAGUGGCGGACGGGUGAGGAAUACAUCGGAAUCUACUCUGUCGUGGGGGAUAACGUAGGGAAACUUACGCUAAUACCGCAUACGACCUACGGGUGAAAGCAGGGGAUCUUCGGACCUUGCGCGAUUGAAUGAGCCGAUGUCGGAUUAGCUAGUUGGCGGGGUAAAGGCCCACCAAGGCGACGAUCCGUAGCUGGUCUGAGAGGAUGAUCAGCCACACUGGAACUGAGACACGGUCCAGACUCCUACGGGAGGCAGCAGUGGGGAAUAUUGGACAAUGGGCGCAAGCCUGAUCCAGCCAUACCGCGUGGGUGAAGAAGGCCUUCGGGUUGUAAAGCUCUUAUAUGUNUGGGAAAGAAAUCCAGCUGGCUAAUACCUGGUUGGGAUGACGGUACCCAAAGAAUAAGCACCGGCUAACUUCGUGCCAGCAGACGCGGUAAUACGAAGGGUGCAAAGCGUUUACUCGGAAUUACUGGGCGUACACGCCGUGCGUAGGUGGAUCGAUUUAAAGUUCCGUUGUGAAAGCCCUGGGGCUCAAACCUGGGGCAACUUGCAGUGGAUACUGGGCGACUAGAGUGUGGNAGAGGGUUACGGCAUUCCUGGUGUACAAGUGAAUGCGUAGAGAAUCAGGAGGCACCUCCAUUGGAAGGCAGNNNACCUUGACCAACACUG
This 790-nucleotide ribosomal RNA is filed under the name uncultured bacterium. RNAcentral describes it as "bacterial SSU rRNA". It matches the Rfam family "Bacterial small subunit ribosomal RNA", at positions 1 to 742 of the family's 1533-position model. The record is from RNAcentral.